CCCUAGUAACUGCGAGUGAAGCGGGAAAAGCUCAAAUUUAAAAUCUGGUGGCCUUUGGCCGUCCGAGUUGUAAUUUAGAGAAGCGUCUUCCGCGCUGGACCGUGCACAAGUCUCCUGGAAUGGAGCGUCAUAGAGGGUGAGAAUCCCGUCUUUGGCACGGACACCUGGUGCUUCUGUGAUGCGCUCUCGAAGAGUCGAGUUGUUUGGGAAUGCAGCUCAAAAUGGGUGGUGAACUCCAUCUAAAGCUAAAUAUUGGCGAGAGACCGAUAGCGAACAAGUACCGUGAGGGAAAGAUGAAAAGCACUUUGGAAAGAGAGUGAAACAGUACGUGAAAUUGUUGAAAGGGAAACGCUUGAAGUCAGUCGCGUCGACCGAGACUCAGCCUUGCCUUGGCUUGGUGUACUUCUCGGCCCGACGGGUCAGCAUCAAUUUUGUCCCUCGGAUAAUGGCAGGGGAAAGGUGGCACCUUUACGGGUGUGUUAUAGUCUCUUGUCGCAUGCGAGGGGUGGGAUUGAGGAACUCAGCGCGCGCCUUGGUGUCGGGGCUUUGGCCCACGUCACGCGCUUAGGAUGCUGGCAUAAUGGCUUUAAACGACCC
This 597-nucleotide ribosomal RNA is filed under the name Lactarius sp. 2 KA-2019. RNAcentral's name for it is "partial large subunit ribosomal RNA". It matches the Rfam family "Eukaryotic large subunit ribosomal RNA", at positions 78 to 650 of the family's 3401-position model. The record is from RNAcentral. Lineage: Eukaryota; Fungi; Basidiomycota; Agaricomycetes; Russulales; Russulaceae.